Herpailurus yagouaroundi (jaguarundi) is the source of this 506-nucleotide long non-coding RNA. RefSeq lists it as uncharacterized. The transcript is spliced from 2 exons. The record is from RefSeq and is a predicted model, not a curated record. NCBI's taxonomy places the organism in Eukaryota, Metazoa, Chordata, Mammalia, Carnivora, Felidae.
AUUGUGGCAAAAUACACACACUAUAAUUAGCCAUCCAAUUCUAUGCAUUUAGCACAUUCACGAUGUUCUGCAACCAUCACCACUGUCUAAUUCCAGGAUAUUUUCAUCACUCCUAAAGGACUCUCUGUACCCUCUGGCCUGUUGAUCCUUAUUCCCCCAUCUCCCAGCACUUGGCAGUGGUUCAUCUGCUUUCUGUCUCCACGGAUUUGCCCAUUCUGGCAAUCUCAAAUAACUGGAAUCAUAUGUAUGUAUCCUUUUGUGUCUGGCUUUUUCCACUCAGUGUAUUUUUUCAAGAUUCCUCCAUUCCUCCGUGAUGUACCAUGCGUCAUUUUUGUUUUUUACUGCCUGCAUACUAUUCUAUAUGGAUAUACCAAUUUGUCCAUUCAUUGGUCCUUGGGCAUUUGGGGUGUUUCUACUUUGGGAUAUUAUUUUAACUGUUCAUUUUGCUUGCUUUUAUAGAAAAUAUAGAUGCCACAUGGUAUGUUUCUUCUGCAAAUGCAAAUUAA